GAUGAACGCUGGCGGCGUGCCUAAUACAUGCAAGUCGAGCGAACAGAUAAGGAGCUUGCUCCUUUGACGUUAGCGGCGGACGGGUGAGUAACACGUGGGUAACCUACCUAUAAGACUGGAAUAACUCCGGGAAACCGGGGCUAAUGCCGGAUAACAUUUAGAACCGCAUGGUUCUAAAGUGAAAGAUGGUUUUGCUAUCACUUAUAGAUGGACCCGCGCCGUAUUAGCUAGUUGGUAAGGUAACGGCUUACCAAGGCAACGAUACGUAGCCGACCUGAGAGGGUGAUCGGCCACACUGGAACUGAGACACGGUCCAGACUCCUACGGGAGGCAGCAGUAGGGAAUCUUCCGCAAUGGGCGAAAGCCUGACGGAGCAACGCCGCGUGAGUGAUGAAGGUCUUCGGAUCGUAAAACUCUGUUAUUAGGGAAGAACAAAUGCGUAAGUAACUGUGCACGUCUUGACGGUACCUAAUCAGAAAGCCACGGCUAACUACGUG
RNAcentral lists this ribosomal RNA (497 nucleotides) under uncultured bacterium. RNAcentral describes it as "partial 16S ribosomal RNA". It matches the Rfam family "Bacterial small subunit ribosomal RNA", at positions 28 to 507 of the family's 1533-position model. The record is from RNAcentral.